This 425-nucleotide ribosomal RNA is filed under the name uncultured bacterium. Its description in RNAcentral is "partial 16S ribosomal RNA". It matches the Rfam family "Bacterial small subunit ribosomal RNA", at positions 354 to 796 of the family's 1533-position model. The record is from RNAcentral.
GUGGGGAAUCUUGCGCAAUGGGCGAAAGCCUGACGCAGCCAUGCCGCGUGAAUGAUGAAGGUCUUAGGAUUGUAAAAUUCUUUCACCGGGGACGAUAAUGACGGUACCCGGAGAAGAAGCUCCGGCUAACUUCGUGCCAGCAGCCGCGGUAAUACGAAGGGGGCUAGCGUUGCUCGGAAUUACUGGGCGUAAAGGGCGCGUAGGCGGACAGCUUAGUCAGAGGUGAAAGCCCAGGGCUCAACCUUGGAAUUGCCUUUGAUACUGGCUGUCUUGAGUUUGGGAGAGGUGAGUGGAACUCCGAGUGUAGAGGUGAAAUUCGUAGAUAUUCGGAAGAACACCAGUGGCGAAGGCGACUACCUGGACUGAUACUGACACUGAGGUGCGAAAGCGUGGGGAGCAAACAGGAUUAGAUACCCCGGUAGUCC